GUUUGAUGGAGAUGGGUAUGUGAAGUUAUGUCAAUUUGAUCAGAAGAUAUUAAUAGGAUAUGCUGCAUUGAUUUUUGGAAUAAUUUAGGAAAGAGAAUUUGACUAUUCCACUUUAGCUUUCCUUUUGUUCACCAGUAACUAUUGUCCCAAUGUCUAAUUUAAGCAAAUUUUUGUAGGAUUAACGUCUUAAGUUCCUCAUCCAAAAUGCACAAUCAGUCUACUGCUUAAUUUUCCUGGACCGCAAGCCAAAUUUGUAUGACACAUAUACCAUUAAGUAUUCAGCAAAUUAUCAGAUUGUGUGCAACUCUUGUUAAAAUCUCUAUUUUCUCUUGUAAUAUGAGUGAUAUCAUCCAUUUUUCUACUAGCCACUUUACAACCUUUGUAAUUAUUUCAGGAUUUCGAAAGUUUAUAUCAGGACCAUCCUAGUUGACAUGUUAAGUAUGGCUUUGUAUAAGUUAUUAUCUUUUUUCUUCAAAUUUGCAGCAUGAUUCACGGUAUGCGCAUCA
Molecule: unclassified non-coding RNA, 506 nt
Filed under: Hevea brasiliensis (rubber tree)
Lineage: Eukaryota; Viridiplantae; Streptophyta; Magnoliopsida; Malpighiales; Euphorbiaceae
Source: RNAcentral